This 459-nucleotide ribosomal RNA is filed under the name uncultured bacterium. RNAcentral's name for it is "partial 16S ribosomal RNA". It matches the Rfam family "Bacterial small subunit ribosomal RNA", at positions 338 to 795 of the family's 1533-position model. The record is from RNAcentral.
CCUACGGGAGGCAGCAGUGAGGAAUAUUGGUCAAUGGUCGGGAGACUGAACCAGCCAAGCAGCGUGAGGGAUGAAGGUACAGAGGAUCGUAAACCUCUUUUGUCAGGGAACAAAGGCGGGGACGCGUCCCCGGAUGAGUGUACCUGAAGAAAAGGCAUCGGCUAACUCAGUGCCAGCAGCCGCGGUAAUACGGAGGAUGCGAGCGUUAUCCGGAUUUAUUGGGUUUAAAGGGGGCGCAGGGGGCUGGUUAAGUCAGCGGUAAAAGUCCGGGGCUCACCCCCGGACCGCCGUUGAAACUGGCAGUCUCGAGUUGGAGAGAAGUAUGCGGAAUGCGCGGUGUAGCGGUGAAAUGCAUAGAUAUCGCGCAGAACUCCGAUUGCGAAGGCAGCAUGCCGGCUCCACACUGACGCUGAGGCACGAAAGCGUGGGUAUCGAACAGGAUUAGAUACCCCUGUAGUC